AUUGAACGCUGGCGGCAGGCUUAACACAUGCAAGUCGAACGAGUGGCGGACGGGUGAGUAAUGCUUGGGAAUCUAGCUUAUGGAGGGGGAUAACUACGGGAAACUGUAGCUAAUACCGCGUACCAUAGGAUGAGCCCAAGUGGGAUUAGGUAGUUGGUGAGGUAAAGGCUCACCAAGCCGACGAUCUCUAGCUGGUCUGAGAGGAUGACCGGCCGCAAUGGAACUGAGACACGGCCCAGACACCUACGGGAGGCAGCAGUGGGGAAUAUUGCGCAAUGGGGGCAACCUGACGCAGCCAUGCCGCGUGAAUGAAGAAGGCCUUCGGGUUGUAAGGUACUUUCGGUGGCGAGGCGUUAACAACAGAAGAAGCACCGGCUAACUCCGUGCCAGCAGCCGCGGUAAUAC
This 405-nucleotide ribosomal RNA is filed under the name uncultured bacterium. RNAcentral describes it as "partial 16S ribosomal RNA". It matches the Rfam family "Bacterial small subunit ribosomal RNA", at positions 30 to 526 of the family's 1533-position model. The record is from RNAcentral.